Molecule: long non-coding RNA, 8860 nt
Organism: Acinonyx jubatus (cheetah)
Lineage: Eukaryota; Metazoa; Chordata; Mammalia; Carnivora; Felidae
Exons: 4
Source: RefSeq, a predicted model, not a curated record
CGGCCCCCAGCCCGGAGCCGCCCCCGGAGCGUGGCCACGUCACACGGGACCUGUCCGGAACCCGACGCGCGGCGCGCCGCAGGGUCGAGGGGAGCGGCGGCCGAGGCGCGCUUCCGCCUCGCGGCUGUGGGGGACCCGGGAGGCCCAGGCGCACUUCCGCCCGGGAGGAUCGGGGGCGGAGGGGAGGGCCCGGCGGAAGUAGGAGCCCCAGGAGCGAGGCGCUCAGCCCCCGCUGGGCGGGGCGGAGAGGGCGGCCCCGCAGGGACCGCGAGCCGCUGGGUGGCUGGGCUUGCGGCUCCGGCCGCCGCUUCCUCUCUCGGGCUGCAGUGUCGCCCACGGCCGCACGAGGGCGCGCUCCGCUGCCAGCCCUCGCAGCCCGGAGCCCGGAGCCCCGAGCCCGGAGCCCGGCCGGGGUCGGGGUGGGUGCCUGGCUUGGGCGCUCCUGCUGUGAGUCAAACCGGCCUGGCUCCUCCAUGAACAAGGGAAAGGGGAAGUGCCCGCCGCAGGGAGGGGCCUAGCCUCGGGAACCUCAGAAGAGGGAAUUUUAUUCUUACUCAUCGAAUUAUUUUUAUGCUUUGGUUUUUCACUGGGAACCUCAGGCCUUUGUCUCCAGGGCUUGUAACCCUUUGGGGUCCAAUGCGUGGUGGCUUGACACUAUUGCUUGGAACCCCAAACCUGGGGUAGCUCCCUUUUGUGCUUGCCUCACCUGGAGGAAGGUAGGCCUAACCUCAGACUAGGGCAGCAAACAAUAAAUAGCAUUAUUAUAUCUACAAGUUACUGGACACUGUUGCAUGCCAUUCACUCCAUCUGCAUUAUCUCACUGAAUCCUCAUUCUGCCCCCACUGAGGUGGGUACUGUUAGCCCCGGGGUCACGCAGUGGCACAGAUGGCAGAGCCAGGUUUCCCCCUGGGUGUCCCUGAGCCCAGCAUGUGACAGCACCUCUCACUUCCAGGGAGGUGGGAGUCUAGCUUGGAGGUUCCACAUUGCAUCUUUUGCUGGGACUUCAGCCAAGACUGUAUAAUAUUCAGGAUGGGGCACGUGGAUACCCACUUGGGCAGAGAUUGCGACAGGGUAGGGGUCUCCAAACCUCUGACCCUCAUUCAUCACCCAUGCUGGUUCCCUUCAACUGUCCUGUGUUGCUCUCGCCUACUGGGGGCUCUGAGGGCACAUGACUCACAUACUGCACCUGAUGCCUGUUGACCACACUCCAAUGUGUGCUUUUCUUGGACCUCCAGCUCCUUCCAGGUGGGAUCAGCUUUCCUCUGAAAGCCCCGUGUCUGUCUCACCACACCAAGCCCAUAGGCGAGUUCUGAAGUGGAAGCCCUGGGUUGGUUUUUUUGCAAAGGGAGGAAGACGCUCAGGGAUGCUGCUCUGGGAUGUCAAAGAUGCACCCGCCCCCCCGUAUGCAAAUCACUUAAUCAUAUGCAAAGCACUUCACAAUAUACAAAUGAUUUCACAAUAAGACAGUCAAGUUAGCAUUCCUGCCUCUGGGGGCUGAGGGCUGCUGGCCCCCAGCAAGAGGGUAAGGCAAGACCCAGCCAGAAACGUCACCUGGCUGCCUUCUCACUGUCCUUUCCUCUCACCUAGCCUGGAAUUUCCACCAUCAAACUCCCUAAUGGAGUAAAGAAGCACACUGGGGGGCUCUAGAAGAGGACCAUGAGCAGAGGGGACCAGGUGAAAAGACGGUGUGUGGACUGAUGUGUGCUGUUAAAAGCAAUGAAUUAGAUCUGCCAGGGGCUUCCAGAGGCCUUCUCCUUUUCAGGGCUUUCUUUGGGUCCACAGGCUGGCAGCAACCUCUUGUAGAGAGGCUUCUGAGGCUCAGGGUGGUGAGCUCCUUGCCCCCAUGAAAUGCUCUGCUCUCUUCUCUUUUCCUUGCCGUCCCCGGGGCUGGAGGAGCACAGGCCUCCCCAAGCACCGGGCCUCAGCUUUGCUGCACUCCCAUCUCCUUCCAAGGGUUGAGGCCGGGUGGCCAGAAAUGGGAGGCCCGGACUUGCUACUGCCGAUGUGGAAACAGGGGCAGCUGCAGCCCGGGCGGCUCGGGGCUGGGCACCCCGACCCUGCCCAGAGGGGCCUGAGUAGGCCUGCCAGGCCAGGCCUCACACCUGGGCAGUGGAUGGCCUGAGGUACCCCCACACCAGCAACCCGUCCUUCCCAUACCCAACAGCUUUUGCCAAGUGUGAGGGGCCAGGUGGGGCCAUGGCUCAAGGCCAAGCUGGGGCCCAGGAGGUCAGAGGUCCAGGGAUGGGAGCUCCAGUCCAGGAGUCAGGGUGCAUAGUUUUGGUCUUAACUCUGUUCUUUAUUCACUGAGUGCCUUUGGCCAUCCCUGACCCCCUGCAGGCGUCGGCUUCCUCUUUUGCGUAGUGAUUGUGGCCCCCAUGAUCUAAAAUCUCUUGCCCAUUUCUGCUCCAAUUCUGACAUCCCCCUUGAAUUUCAUAUUUCAAGAGCCUCUGCUUUGGGGACAGGUAGGCACGGAGGCUGGGACCCUCAGAGCAGGGCUUGGCAUAGGCCUUGGAGAGACGAGGGGGAAGGAAAGGGCAUGCCAGGCCGGGGGCCAGACUGGGACAAGGCUUAGAGGUGGGAAGGCCAGGACCAAGUCUGGGAGACGAGGUGUUGAUGGGACAGAGGGUCGUAGGUGACAAGAUUGAUCCAGAAGGAUUCGAAAGUGGGAGAAAGAUUUUAGGAGCCACUUUAUUCCCGCAGACCUGAGGAAGGGGUCUGACACCUCUCCAGAAGUGGUCUUUUGGAGGGUGGGGGCAGGGCCAGUGCUUCCUGUCUAAGAAGGAGAUGGGUACCCGUGUGGUGGGACACGGGAGCCUCAGGAGGGAGCCACAUCUUUCCCCCUCUGUCAGGUGCCUGGAGGGCCACCAUCAGGGCCAGGCCUCAGGAGUUGGCAUUGCCCUCUUCCCGAACGCAUCUUGUUUUGUUUUUAAGCACUGCUAUUGCAAGAAUGGGAGGGGAGAUGACUUUGCUUCUUGUUGACUUUGCUGACAGUGCCUGACCUCUGCAGGAAGAGUUUCCAGGAAGGCCAAGGCAUGAGCCCCCUGGGAACCGACCAGUCCACUGAGUUCAGACACCCUCUUGGUCUAGGAGGUUCUGAGGUGCCCACCUCACAAGUACAAGCCCUAAAUCUCAAGACCUGUGCAACACAGACAGCACAAGCACUGGUUCCAGCCAAAGAGGCCUUGGGGAUCCCAAGACCCCGAGGCCCAGACUGAGGGACCAUCGGGCUGGCCUGGCCCCCACUAUCCUGUCCCGGCACCAAGUGCUGAGUUGGCGGUUCAGCAGCUGCCUCUGCCCACGGAGGCCCAGUUAUAAAUAAGCUCAGUGUGGCCAAGUCAUCAAGUUCUGCCCCAGCUGCAUUACCUCAGUGACCACAGGUUGGGGCUGCCCAGUGCUGGGCCCACCGAAACCUGCCCACCCAGAGAAAGGCCGGGCCAGCUUCCAUGCCUCCUGGGGUCCUCAAAUGCAGGCUUUGAAUAGCUGCAGCUACUCAGGCCCGGGCCUCCCUGGACACAGGCCACAGAAGGGGCAGGGCCCAUCCCGCCUGCACGGAGCCGGCAGCUAUUUACAAACCGAAACUGGGAGAAGUGAAGUGGCUGCGGCCAAGUGGCUCCAGGCCCCCCAGCCCCCACUCCCACUCCAUCCCCAGCAGCCCAUCCCCCUCUCCCCAUGGCUUCCUCUUUCCUUCUCCACACAGCUCCCCAGCCUCCCGCUGCCCGGCCAGCUCUGUCUGGACAACCUGCAGGCACCUCACGGUGACGCCCAACGCCACUGUCACAGGCCGACGGGUCCCUUCUCCUCUGCACCCCCAGGACCCCAUCAGUCUGGACUCCUUGGAACAGCCCCUCCCACCCGGGCCCGGCCGCCCACCCUGGGCAGGCCCAAGGCACAUUCCCACACUUCUCAGUUCCCCUUCAUGCUUGGAAAAGCUCCAACGCCAAUGGCUGCCACCAUGCUGCCCAUCCCUCCUGAGGGUGGUUUCUCUGGGCGUCCUGCAUCUUCACAGGAGCCAAGGAAUCUGGGGUGCUACGGUGGAACUUGGGGCACCCGGGGACUUUGGAGGGCAUGUUUCUGGACAGGAGGACCCAGCCACCGCUCUCCUUGGGUUGGUGUGGGGGACAGGCCCUCGUGCGGUGCAGAGGGACACUGGGCCUGAGGCCGUGGCACACCCGGCUUAGGAAGUGGCAGGCUGGGUGGCCUUGCAGCAGGAGACCACUCCGAGGAGAGACAACAGGCCACAUAAGUGACACUCAUUACUAAUAACAGACCAACUCCCUCACAUUGGUGCAGAGGUUUCCAGUUGACAUCAGUCAGAUCUUUCCAUCCCCAGAACGAGCCUAUCCCAUGACCACCAUCAUAAAGUGGAAACCGAGGCUCAGAGGAGAAACCGCGUGUACGAGGCCCCAUAGCUAGAGAGCGUCUGGAUGGGAUUCAAGGUUUCUUAACACCCUAUUCCCUCUUCUCCCUGACUGCCUUUGGUUCCAUCUUGUACCCCAGUCUCCCUACUGGCAGGACCGAAGUCUCCUAACACUGUGACAAGAGCGAAAGCAGGGCUGGUCUGAUGCUUGAGAGAGAAGCAGGCUUUGGACGGCAUAGUUGUCAGAUGGCCACCCCUGGCCAGGUGUCAGUGCCCAGUGCCCCCGCCUCCUGCCAAGUCCCAGCUGAGCAGAAGCCCUGGCCUGAGUCCCGCUCCGCCAUAGCCAGCUGGCUGGUUGAGUUUCUCCUAACCUCUCUGAGCCUCAGAGCCCCCUCCUGUGAAAUUGGCAUUUCACGAACACCAAGCACCUACUUGGUGCCAGCUCUAUGCUGGGUGCAAGCUGCCUCUGAAGCUACAACAUGACCCCUGGCCACAGUCCUGGGUAGAAGGCAGAUGAGUUACAAAAUUCUGAGAGCUCCCAGAUGGAAAUUGAGGCCUUGGGACACAGAAAGGGAGUGAUGGUGCUCCCAGGGUGCGGAGGGGUAUCACUUGGGAUGGGCCCAAAGGACAGGAAAGAGUUCUCCAGAAAAAGCAUGGGGGACAGACUCUCAUGCUGAGUCACACCCCUGUGCCUUGUAGUUCCCACGGCCUGAGUGCCCUUCCUUCCUCUGGGCCUGGUGAACUCCUACCCAUCCGUCAGGGCCCAUGGGCACACUGGAGAAUGACCAGGCCUGGCCUGGCCUGGCCUGGUGGCUCCUACCUCCUUUCUCCCACCCAGAGCCUAAGCAGAGCCUGAGGCCAGGAGUCUUUGGUCACAACACCCUCGCCAGCCCCACCCGGGCAGGCGUCUGCUCCCGGGUUCCAGCCCCCGCCGUCCCCUGCUCCGAAAAGCACCAUUUCCCUUUUCUGGGUGACCACACGCCAUGCACAGGGAAUUUCCAUCGCAGCCUGCGGAGCCUCUGAUUCACUCAGGCCCCUCAUGCAGUUAACUCCUUCCAGGCCCCGCGCCUUUAGCUCCGCACGCUGGGUGGUACCCCACCCCCACCCAGGGCCCCUGGGUGGCCUCAAACUGGCCUUGGGCCACAGCUCGGAAGUCGAAGUUUCUCCCUAGCCCUACGCCUCAGGAUCCUCCCGUCAUAUGCACAGAGACCUCUUCCCAAGGACUCACGGCAUACACACUGCGCAGCCUUGGGCCCAGAGCACAGGCUUUGGGGUAAAACAAGCCAAAGAGCUUGAAAGAGCUGAGUCUGGCUCUUUCAGUCCUGUGACCUGGAAAAGUGUCCGCUCUGAGCCCCAUUUCUCAUCUGUGAAAUGGAGAUCAUCCCUGUCCCAUAGCCUCGCUGUAAGGAUCCAAUGUGCUGGGCUCGUGAGGACGGUUGUAUAAUUAUUACCUUUCCUUUUUCUUUUCAAAGGGCCCCUCUCAUCCAAUCUCAGGGUCCCUGCUCCAGUCCUGGGCCCCUUUUCUGUCUGGCUUUCCCCUCCUGAGAGCUGACUGCUCACACAGAGAGGGUGAGAGAGAAGUGCCAGGGGGGCAGAGGAGGGAGGGGUGCUAUUGUCAUGGGGCUCUCCUCCAGCAGCUUCCUGGCUCCCCGCAUCUCUCUUUUCCCAAGGAAGCUGUGAAGAGGACCUCUGCUGGGAUCUUGAGCCCGCAGGGACAGGGUGAGCCUUCCUCCCUCUGGAAGAACGCCGGGUGUGCACCCCCCCCCCCCCCCGCACACGAACAUCAUACAUGCUGUCUUGUGGAAUUCUCACAACCUUGUGAGGUGCAGCCUGUUAUUGCCCCCAUUUUAAAGGUGGGGACACGUAGGCCCUAAGAAGGGACUUGCCCUCAGCUACACAGCGACUAAAGGGCAGGGACAGGAUUCAAAUCAAGGUCUCCAGAGCCACACUCCUAAACCUUCACAGGUCCCAGUUAGCGUGUGUGGAGGCCAGUGAGGGAAACGGGCACUAAAUGACCCCCUCCUGUAUAUUAGGUAAAGACCGACAAAUUGUCCUUUCAGUCCUUUGAACGAUUGUGGGAGGCGAGUCUCGCUGACCCCUCUGUGGGAUCGAGUUGUCUGAGCUUCCCUAAGGGGGAGGAACUUGCCCAGAGGCCACACGGCCAAUCGUGGGGAAGGAUCCAGGGGUACCUAGGGAAAGAAGGAUGGUGGAGGGGCUGAAUGGAGAAGGGGCCUACACCUGGAGGAGAAGCCAUCCUAUCUUCAGAGAGCAAACGGGGUUGGGGGGGGGGUGGUGCUGGGAGGUGCUGCCGUGGUGAGCAGAAGGAAGUCACUGUGGGUGGCGGUGGGUUUGAGGUGCCGGAGGCUGAGUGAUGUGGCCGGGAGGUGAGCUCCCAGGCUGCAGGCCUGGUCAGCAAGAGUCAGGGGUGAGGAGGGAUGGCCGAGAUUUGGGCCUUAGAGGAGGUUGGGCUACUCGGUGCUUCUUGGUUGCUGGGGCUGGGGAGCUGGAGGCAGGGGUUGGUGCAGAGCAAGAGGAGAGAUUCAGGGGGGCUGGGGAGAGAUGGAGGUAAGGGGGGAAGGGUGUGUCUGGAGGGCAGCCUAGAGGAGGAGAGCCCACAAAAGACAGAGGCCUUAGGGUGUGGAAGGGGUGGGCCUGUGAGCAAGGCCUGGGAGAUUGAGAAAGAGGUUCUGGGAAUGUUGAGUAGUGUCUUCUGGUUGGAGGUGGGGGUGGGGCUGGUCCACAUGGAUGGGAGAGGGUGCAAAGGUGGGCUGGACUCUGGGUGUUGGGGGCUCCAGCAUAGGCGACAGAGCUGGACUGCACCCUGUGGACAAGCAAGAACCAAGGAGGAUUUUUAGGCAGAGAAAUAUCCGUGGGAGAGACUUGAGGAAGGGACAGCAGCCCCAGGACCACUGCAGUCACCUCCCACCCACUCACCAGCUGUGUGUCCUUGGGUACGUGCCCCCCCCCGCCCACCAGAGCCUCGAGCCUCAUUUCUCAUGCCUGCCUCAUAGGAUUAUGUGAGGGUGGAACCAGUUAAUGCCUGCUCUUUCCCCUUGCCUUUGUCUUGGCCCAAAAAAAAAACAUUAAAAAAAUUUUUUUAAUGUUUAUUUUUGAGAGGGAGAGAGCGUGCAAGCAGGGGAGGGGCGGAGAGAGGCAGACGCAGAAUCUGCAACAGGCUCCAGGCUCUAAGCUGUCAGCACAGAGCUGCAUGUGGGCCUCGAACUCACAAACUGCGAGAUCACGACCUGAGCUGAAGUCCGAUGCUUAACCGACUGAGCUACCCAGGCGUCCCUCACAAGCACUUUCUGAGCGCCUGAGAGAAGGCACCCUUCGUGGGCACCUCCUUUUCACUCAGUCACAAUGAAAUUUCACACAAGGUCUGCCACUAAGCCCUACCUGCCCCAGCCCCUCACACUCUCCCCUCCCGGCACACCAGCCCCCUGCUGGUCCUGGCUCAUACUUUGCAGGGCUGGGGUCCCUGCCCAGGGCUCUUCUCCCAGAGGUCUGCUCAGCUCACUCCCUCACUGGCUCCCAGAGUUUGUUCAGAUCUCCCCUUCUUGGUGAGCAUGGCCUGCCCUGCCUUAGCCAGCUGGCCGCUCUUUUCCUAUAGUGCUGUUACCUGCUAACCUGCAGUGAGAUGCCCUCAAAGACGUGCUCAGCCCUGUCUUUCUUGCUCCAGAACAAACCCCACAAGGGCAGGAGUCUUUGCCUCUUUGGGUCUCCUGGCCCACAGGCCCUGAGUAAAUAUUUGUUGGACGUUCUCAAGCCCUAAAGAGCCAGCCCAGUUCUGGGGAGCUCUGAGGGGCCCAGGCGACACAGACUGGGGCCCGAGGAGCCUCCCCCCGUGUCUCAACCAUGAGAGGAAGUUGCAAGACGGCCAUUUCUGUACACGGGCUCAGCUUUUUUUGGUCAACUUUCCCAGUGCUUGGUCUGAGGCCUCAGUUUUCCCCUAUACUCUGUCAGUCCCUAUAGAGACCAGUUGCUGGGACUGUGGGGAUGGGGCGCCAUUCCCUUAUUUUAGAGCUCUUUUGGGAUGAGGUUAAGGGAUCUGCAAGUUCAAGGUCUUGUCAGCUUCGAGGACGCAGCACCCACGUUUCCUGUUGCCUGCUCACCCUGAGAUUGCAAUAGUCCCCAGUCUACCCCCUCAGCAGCCCAGUCCAAUGAGGGCAAAGGGCCGCCUGGCCUUCCACCACCCAGGCCCGCCUGGCCUCCCUGGCACUCCACAGGGCUGCCCACUUGUCCUAUGGAGUGGGUAAAUAGAACUGUCAUAUGCUGCUGGUAGGAGGGAAAGUUGUUACAACUUUCAUCGAGGGCAAUAUGACAGUAUCUCUAUCUCAAAAUUUAAAGUGCGGGACGACUAGGGGCCCCUGGGUGGCUCAGUUGGUUAAGCGUCCAACUGGCUCAGGUCAUGAUCUCACUGUUCACGGGUUCGAAACCCGCAUUGGACUCCGUGCUGACAGCUCAGAGCCUGGAGCCUGCUUCCGAUUCUGUGCCUCCCUCUCU